AUUAUGCAAAGCCUAUGCAUAAUAUUAACCUAUAAUAUUAAGCCCAUGCAAAUUGCCCAUGAUCAUUGUUUCACUUAUGUACAGGUAUGGCCUGUUUAAUUUUGUUAAGUCUAUUGUUAUUAUCUUGCCCGUUGCUUUUAUAUUCCUUCCAUUUAUAUCACGUUUUCUUAACCUAAUUUAUUCAUCACUUAAACCUAACCCUAGCCGUCAAUUUUAUCUCAAAACCUCUAAAACAUCGCUGUUCAAAUCAUCCUCUUUAUGCUCGUGAAAUUAGCGUUAUAUUUGGAUCCGUCUUGUCCCUGUGAUACUAGACUCACGCCUCUACGAUUCUCAACUUCGUUUUCUCAUUCGACUCUUCGACUACUCGCGCUCCGGAGUCGAAACAGGGUUAGCUGUUUGCCAAGAUCACGUGGAUAAGCAAGCUGGUUAUGAUCUGAGAGAGUCUGGUGAUCUCCGCAUUUACUUUUCCUCGGAGGUUCCAUUUAUUUUUAUAAACUGUCAAACUAUUUUAUUCUUAGACCGCAGUAGUUGACUAGACGUCUUUAUUAUUGUUACAGUUGUAUGUCGGAUUGGUCUGACUGGUUAUAUUGCUCUGGCAUGUUAUGUAUUUAUUUCGGAUUAUUUAUGUUAUGCCUAUUUUAGACCCGGAAUUGAAUAAGUAUGUUAUAUUAACUGUUGAUUAUCAUAACUGCUAGUUUAGGCUGAAGUCUCGGUUGCCCCCGAGCAUUGGUUUUCUGCAGGUUUAUGUAUUUAUGAAUUAAAUGAAAGGCUAGCUACGGGUUUCGGUACUACAUUACCCAUACCCUAGCGCCGGUCGCGAUUCAUGAAAAUGGGUCGUGACAGUAGCAUGCUUGAUGAACUAGUAAUUAAAUGUGGUGAUUAUAAAGCCAAGAUGCUAUCCUUUAAAAAUGAAGCUUCUAAAGCUAAAGAUGAAAUGCUUGUUUUAACAAAAGAAUUUCAUGAAUUAAAAUUGUCUAAUGAAGCUCUCAAGUCAUCUUUAGAAUCUAUCCCUAAGUAAGGUUUGAAUGUUGAUAACUUGCUUAAGGAAAAUGAUCAACUAAAGAAUGAAAUUUUUGAAUUAAAAGAUUCACUUUCAAGAUUUCAAAAAGGGAAGACAGCCUUGGAUACAAUUCUUGUAUCUCAAAGAUGCCCAACCAUAAAAUUUGGACUUGCCUAUAAUCAAAAUGCUUCUAGUUCCAAUGAAACUAAAUUUAUGAAGUCCAUUUUGCCUCAAACGUCUUCUAUAAAAGUUCCUCCUAAAUUGGUCAAACCAAUUGAGGCAAAGAAGAUGCAUGUUCAAGCUCCUAUGGCUAAGCCAUUCUUGGCUCAAAAGGCUAAGAGCAACAAGGGUACAAAACCCUUUAGACAUGGCUAUGCUUCUCAAUAUAGUCACAAGUGGAACAAGAAAACUAGAAAGAACUCGCAUGCUCAUGUUUUUUCACAUGUCAAAUCUUGUUCUCAUACUUGUGCUUGUUCUUAUGAGACCUCUAGAGUCAAGCCACUUCAAAUGCAAUCAAAUGUGAACCAUAGAAUUCAAUGUUUUUAUUGUUAUGGUCACACUAAUGUUCAUUGCUAUGUGAGAAAAAUUCAAUUAAGGUUAAUUUCUUUGAACUAUUCAAGCAUUAACUUUCAAGGACCCAAAGUUGUUUGGGUACCUAAGUGAUUUGCUUUGUAGGUCCACUAAAUCAAAUUCAAUAUCUUAUGGUGGAUGAUCAAAGAAAGCUUUUGGAAAAUGACAAGAUAGGUAACACUUGGUGGUCUUCCAUGGAAGUCCGGUGGCGGAGAGCGGUGUUCGAACGGAGGUGGUGACGGAAAGUGGCGGCUGGUCCGAAGG
This is a long non-coding RNA of Mercurialis annua (annual mercury), 1834 nucleotides long. RefSeq lists it as uncharacterized. The transcript has 4 exons. Lineage: Eukaryota; Viridiplantae; Streptophyta; Magnoliopsida; Malpighiales; Euphorbiaceae. The record is from RefSeq and is a predicted model, not a curated record.